Molecule: ribosomal RNA, 1540 nt
Filed under: Klebsiella pneumoniae
Lineage: Bacteria; Pseudomonadati; Pseudomonadota; Gammaproteobacteria; Enterobacterales; Enterobacteriaceae
Description: bacterial SSU rRNA
Rfam family: Bacterial small subunit ribosomal RNA
Source: RNAcentral
AAAUUGAAGAGUUUGAUCAUGGCUCAGAUUGAACGCUGGCGGCAGGCCUAACACAUGCAAGUCGAGCGGUAGCACAGAGAGCUUGCUCUCGGGUGACGAGCGGCGGACGGGUGAGUAAUGUCUGGGAAACUGCCUGAUGGAGGGGGAUAACUACUGGAAACGGUAGCUAAUACCGCAUAAUGUCGCAAGACCAAAGUGGGGGACCUUCGGGCCUCAUGCCAUCAGAUGUGCCCAGAUGGGAUUAGCUAGUAGGUGGGGUAACGGCUCACCUAGGCGACGAUCCCUAGCUGGUCUGAGAGGAUGACCAGCCACACUGGAACUGAGACACGGUCCAGACUCCUACGGGAGGCAGCAGUGGGGAAUAUUGCACAAUGGGCGCAAGCCUGAUGCAGCCAUGCCGCGUGUGUGAAGAAGGCCUUCGGGUUGUAAAGCACUUUCAGCGGGGAGGAAGGCGGUAAGGUUAAUAACCUCAUCGAUUGACGUUACCCGCAGAAGAAGCACCGGCUAACUCCGUGCCAGCAGCCGCGGUAAUACGGAGGGUGCAAGCGUUAAUCGGAAUUACUGGGCGUAAAGCGCACGCAGGCGGUCUGUCAAGUCGGAUGUGAAAUCCCCGGGCUCAACCUGGGAACUGCAUUCGAAACUGGCAGGCUAGAGUCUUGUAGAGGGGGGUAGAAUUCCAGGUGUAGCGGUGAAAUGCGUAGAGAUCUGGAGGAAUACCGGUGGCGAAGGCGGCCCCCUGGACAAAGACUGACGCUCAGGUGCGAAAGCGUGGGGAGCAAACAGGAUUAGAUACCCUGGUAGUCCACGCCGUAAACGAUGUCGAUUUGGAGGUUGUGCCCUUGAGGCGUGGCUUCCGGAGCUAACGCGUUAAAUCGACCGCCUGGGGAGUACGGCCGCAAGGUUAAAACUCAAAUGAAUUGACGGGGGCCCGCACAAGCGGUGGAGCAUGUGGUUUAAUUCGAUGCAACGCGAAGAACCUUACCUGGUCUUGACAUCCACAGAACUUUCCAGAGAUGGAUUGGUGCCUUCGGGAACUGUGAGACAGGUGCUGCAUGGCUGUCGUCAGCUCGUGUUGUGAAAUGUUGGGUUAAGUCCCGCAACGAGCGCAACCCUUAUCCUUUGUUGCCAGCGGUUCGGCCGGGAACUCAAAGGAGACUGCCAGUGAUAAACUGGAGGAAGGUGGGGAUGACGUCAAGUCAUCAUGGCCCUUACGACCAGGGCUACACACGUGCUACAAUGGCAUAUACAAAGAGAAGCGACCUCGCGAGAGCAAGCGGACCUCAUAAAGUAUGUCGUAGUCCGGAUUGGAGUCUGCAACUCGACUCCAUGAAGUCGGAAUCGCUAGUAAUCGUAGAUCAGAAUGCUACGGUGAAUACGUUCCCGGGCCUUGUACACACCGCCCGUCACACCAUGGGAGUGGGUUGCAAAAGAAGUAGGUAGCUUAACCUUCGGGAGGGCGCUUACCACUUUGUGAUUCAUGACUGGGGUGAAGUCGUAACAAGGUAACCGUAGGGGAACCUGCGGUUGGAUCACCUCCUUA